CCUACGGGAGGCAGCAGUGGGGAAUUUUGGACAAUGGGCGCAAGCCUGAUCCAGCAAUGCCGCGUGCAGGAUGAAGGCCUUCGGGUUGUAAACUGCUUUUGUACGGAACGAAACGGCGAGCUCUAAUAAAGUUCGCUAAUGACGGUACCGUAAGAAUAAGCACCGGCUAACUACGUGCCAGCAGCCGCGGUAAUACGUAGGGUGCAAGCGUUAAUCGGAAUUACUGGGCGUAAAGCGUGCGCAGGCGGUGAUGUAAGACAGAUGUGAAAUCCCCGGGCUCAACCUGGGACCUGCAUUUGUGACUGCAUCGCUAGAGUACGGUAGAGGGGGAUGGAAUUCCGCGUGUAGCAGUGAAAUGCGUAGAUAUGCGGAGGAACACCGAUGGCGAAGGCAAUCCCCUGGACCUGUACUGACGCUCAUGCACGAAAGCGUGGGGAGCAAACAGGAUUAGAUACCCUGGUAGUCCACGCCCUAAACGAUGUCAACUGGUUGUUGGGUCUUCACUGACUCAGUAACGAAGCUAACGCGUGAAGUUGACCGCCUGGGGAGUUACGGCCGCAAGGUUGAAACUUCAAAUUGAAUUGACGG
Molecule: ribosomal RNA, 588 nt
Filed under: uncultured bacterium
Lineage: Bacteria
Description: bacterial SSU rRNA
Rfam family: Bacterial small subunit ribosomal RNA
Source: RNAcentral